UUCUGGGAACCAUGAAGUGGUUCUGAGCAGAAUCCUUCAUCCUGGCUGAAUGGAAAAAAGAAAGAAAAAAAGAAAGAAAACAUGACUUGCCCUGGUUUUCGGUACCACAAGGAUGAAAUAAAGAAAUAAAAAGAGGAACAACAAAACCGCUUCAGAACUCAGGGAAUGUGCCCCACCGGUUAGCACAACCACAUCAGAGGCAGAACCCCGAGGUCUACCUGUCCUGAGGACUUCAUGCUGUUGUGGAGUUUUCCUCUGCUCAUUGUCUUCAAAGUCACCACAUCUGUUGUAAUCCGUGAGUUGUAUGAAAACUCCAAGGUGGCUUCCAGCUCCUCACUGGGCAGUGUCAUUGGUACUUACAAGAAUAGUGAUUGAUCUUUUUCAAGCAUUGCUGCUGGAGCAGAUCAAUGACUCAUCCACCGCCCUCAGAGAGGACUUAGAGAUGUAGAUUGUUAGAAAUGUCCACCACCCUCAGAAAGAAUUUGGAGAUGUAGAUUGUAGUAAAGUUAGGUUAAGAUUCUUUUGCUAGUGGCUUUGAUGUAGAAAAUCUUAGGAAACAGUUUGAAGUUCAGAAAGAUUCACUCUGAAUACUUUAGCUAGAAAUGUUUUGAAUUCAGGCAACAAGAACAAUGGCAGUCCAGCUAUGGCUGAUGUGACUCUCGAGCUAAAGCUGGGCUGGUGACCAAGGCAAUGAUUAAUUUCUUGUAUCAUAUUUACCCUCAGAUUCCUGACAGGAUUUAAUGAAAAAUGUUAAUGAGUAGUUGCGCACCCUGAAGAUUUACAGUAAUAAUGACUGAUUGUUUUUAUAUAAAAGUUUAAAUUUGUGAUACUCUUAAGAUUUUUUAAUGAGGUUACAUUUUAAGAUGAAUGAUAAGAUAAUUGCCAUAUGUCAGUGGGAGAGAUUGGCUGAGAACAUUACCUUGCUUGCUUACACUUUGGUAAUCUAUAACAAGUUGGUUACUUAGGAAUGUAUGUGGGUUCUUGAGAUUAAUUUGUUUUUGUUUUUAGUCCAUAAUGUGUAUAACAUCUGCUCAUGUGAGGGUAAUAGGAAACAUGUUUUUUCUUCUGUAUAUUCAUUGUAACCAUUCACUUAAAGAAAAAUAGAAUAUAACCACAUUGUGAUUUUUGUUUUGCUGGAGUAUUUUGGCAAAUUAUAUAAGCUUUCUGAGAAAAAAUAAAGCUGUUGAAGCUUGCUCAUUGGA
Molecule: long non-coding RNA, 1202 nt
Organism: Grammomys surdaster
Lineage: Eukaryota; Metazoa; Chordata; Mammalia; Rodentia; Muridae
Exons: 2
Source: RefSeq, a predicted model, not a curated record